Long non-coding RNA from Corythoichthys intestinalis (scribbled pipefish), 1322 nucleotides. RefSeq lists it as uncharacterized. The transcript has 3 exons. Lineage: Eukaryota; Metazoa; Chordata; Actinopteri; Syngnathiformes; Syngnathidae. The record is from RefSeq and is a predicted model, not a curated record.
AUACAUGACAUUAGUUACUUACAUAUAACUUAUAAUAUAUUUACAUUGGUCACAUUGUUUAAAGGACGACAGGCUGAGCUGGAUGAGGCUUUAGUGAUGAUUGUGCAGGACUGCCAGCCAUUUUCUGUGGUUGAGGAUAAAGGAUUUAGAGCAUUUGUUCACAAAUUGGACCUAACAUAUGCUCUUCCCACAAGACAGGCACUGCGAGGCAUGGUGGACCAAAAAUGUAAAGAGGACAAAGCCAGAGCAGAGCUAGAGAAAACUGUGGCAGUCACUUUAACUGCCAAAGAAUGCCUAAUUGAUGAAUGGGGCCUAACUAACAAAAUCCACUGUCUUGUCACUGACAAUGCUGCAAAUAUGGCAGCUUGUGCAAAAUUACUUAAACUAUGCAACAUUCCUUGUUUUGCCCAUAGUUUAAAUUUAGUGGCAAAGAAAGCACUUGAGGCAACACCAGAAGUCUCAGAGAUCCGUUUGAGAGCUAGAAAGGUUGUGGCAUUCUUCAAAACAAGCACAAGGGCCAAAGAGAAACUGACUGAGGUACAGUAACAACUUAACAAACCACAACAUUAACUAAUUCAAGAAGUUGACACAAGGUGGAAUUCUACUUUUCAAAUGUACUACUAUGUACUACUCAAAUGAAUUACUUGAGCAGCGUGAGCCAGUUGGAGCAGCCCUGGCGUCACUAACCACAGAUGUGCUACCACUGAAUUGUGCAGAGUACGAGGCAGUGGCAGAAUGUCUUGAAGUUCUGGGACCCCUAUCUCUGGCUACUACAGAGCUUUCAGUUGAGAAGAAGGUGUCUGCAUCUAAACUGAGCCAGAGCCUGCUGCAGUUUUUAAUGGCAAGGUGCAAUGCGGAAAACAUCCGGGUCCUGGCAGUGGCCACUAUUUUGGACCCAAGGUUCAAAACACUAGCAUUUGGCAACCAGACAAAAGCACAAGAGGUCGUGUCUCGCCUCAUAGCUGAAUGUGCAGGACUGAUGGCAAGGCGCUUAGUACCCACACCCACAACAUCACAGGUAAUUGAACUUCAUUUUCUCUGCUUGUAUAUGGCUUUAUAAAAGUCAUGCGCCAGUUUCCAUUUUUUUACAGUCCACAAUGGAGGAAGCCCCUGGACCCUCAACCCAACAGGCUGACCCUGACAGUCUGUGGGCCCUUCUGGACUGCAGAGUUGUCUUGCAGGUGCAACACAGAGUGUCCAUAAUGUGACAGCUGACGCAACUGUGGAAGUACAGUGUUACAUGUCAGAGCCCUACCUCUCCAGAGGAGAGGACCCUUUGAAAUUUUGGAACUCUAGGGCAGCCAUUCAUCCCCAUCUUGCAG